UAGCGAAAUUCCUUGUCGGGUAAGUUCCGACCCGCACGAAAGGCGUAAUGAUUUGAGCGCUGUCUCGACAAUGCAUCCGGUGAAAUUGAAGUACCAGUGAAGAUGCUGGUUACCUGCGCCAGGACGGAAAGACCCCAUGGAGCUUUACUCCAGUUUGGUACUGGGAUCCGGUACUGCAUGUACAGGAUAGGUGGGAGGCUAUGAAAUGGUAACGCCAGUUGCCAUGGAGCCGCUGUUGGGAUACCACCCUUGCAGUAUUGGGUUUCUAACCAGCCGCCGUGACCCGGCGGUGGGACAAUGCCAGACGGGGAGUUUGACUGGGGCGGUCGCCUCCGAAAGGGUAUCGGAGGCGCCCAAAGGUUCCCUCAGAAUGGACGGAAACCAUUCGAAGAGUGCAAAGGCAGAAGGGAGCUUGACUGCGACACCGACGGGUGGAGCAGGUACGAAAGUAGGACUUAGUGAUCCGGUGGUAUAAAGUGGGAUUGCCAUCGCUCAACGGAUAAAAGCUACCCUGGGGAUAACAGGCUUAUCACUCCCAAGAGUUCACAUCGACGGAGUGGUUUGGCACCUCGAUGUCGGCUCAUCGCAUCCUGGGGCUGUAGUAGGUCCCAAGGGUUGGGCUGUUCGCCCAUUAAAGCGGUACGCGAGCUGGGUUCAGAACGUCGUGAGACAGUUCGGUCCCUAUCCGGCGUGGGCGUAGGAUAUCUGAGAGGAGCUGUCCUUAGUACGAGAGGACCGGGAUGGACGGACCGCUGGUGGACCGGUUGGCUUGCCAAAGCCAUGGCCGGGUAGCCAAGUCCGGAAGGGAUAAACGCUGAAGGCAUCUAAGCGUGAAGCCCCCCUCAAGAUGAGAUAUCCCAUUCGAAAGAAGUAAGACCCCUUGAAGACGACGAGGUAGAUAGGGCAGAGGUGGAAGUGCAGUAAUGCAUGGAGCUGACUGUUACUAAUCGGUCGAGGGCAUAACCAA
This 967-nucleotide ribosomal RNA is filed under the name human gut metagenome. Its description in RNAcentral is "bacterial LSU rRNA". It matches the Rfam family "Bacterial large subunit ribosomal RNA", at positions 1957 to 2925 of the family's 2925-position model. The record is from RNAcentral.